RNAcentral lists this long non-coding RNA (335 nucleotides) under Manacus vitellinus (golden-collared manakin). Its description in RNAcentral is "lncRNA (ENSMVIG00005017812.1)". Lineage: Eukaryota; Metazoa; Chordata; Aves; Passeriformes; Pipridae. The record is from RNAcentral.
GUUCAGAAAGAGCUGGGAAGUCCUAAGGAUGUAGCUGAGACACAAAGACUCUCACAAAGAGAAGAAGGACACAGAUUUUUGUGGAGGGAAAAUGAAAAUCUUGGGAUUCUGUACGGAAAGGGUUUGUGAAGCCUGUUCUCAAAGAGUGACAUGGAAAGGACAUAAGGAAUUUGUACCACCUCGUCUUCUUCUAGAACACAGUCCAAGAAAGAAACCAGCAGCUGUUGACGAAGAAAAGUCUAUUGUGGUACCCAGAGAAGUGAAAAGUAAGUUGUUUUUUAUUAUAUUUCCCUUGUCUUCAUGUUAAUUUAUGCAAAGGAUAGGAGUAUAUUGUC